GAUCUGGUGAGUAACAGUGUAUGAAGUAGCCCGUUGCCAUGGCGUCAGAUGCCAGCCACAUGCUGGAGGAAGCUUUGGAGCAAAUGGAGGCAGCCUUGGAGUAAAUGGAUGACAUUAUCGCUGGACGACACUGGCCCAAUUGGAUGACACUGGCCCAAUUGGACGACACUGGCUCAAUUGGUCGCAGACACUCUUAUCCAGAGCAACUUACAAUUGCUUCAACUAAGGUCCAUAACACCACAUGUCAUAGUCAUAGAAUGUAAAAACGCUCCUCAGUAAAGCAGCUGUCAGCAAAAUCGGUGCAAGAAAGACAAAUACAACAGUAAGGUUUGAUUUAUAUUUUCUUUACACACACACUCUCUUUCCCGUAAGGGGCACAAGACACACGGCUCUAAUAAUGAAGAUAGCAUAGUGCUAAUGACCCCCAGCAGACUGCUCUAAGACUGAGAAAACAGUGACAUCACCCAUAGAGAUGGUAAUACAGGCUAGCAUAAUGCUAAUAAUGAAGAUAGCAUAGUGCUAAUGACCCCCAGCAGACUGCUCUAAGACUGAGAAAACAGUGACAUCACCCAUAGAGAUGGUAAUACAGGCUAGCAUAAUGCUAAUAAUGAAGAUAGCAUAGUGCUAAUGACCCCCAGCAGACUGCUCUAAGACUGAGAAAACAGUGACAUCACCCAUAGAGAUGGUAAUACAGGCUAGCAUAAUGCUAAUAAUGAAGAUAGCAUAGUGCUAAUGACCCCCAGCAGACUGCUCUAAGACUGAGAAAACAGUGACAUCACCCAUAGAGAUGGUAAUACAGGCUAGCAUAAUGCUAAUAAUGAAGAUAGCAUAGUGCUAAUGACCCCCAGCAGACUGCUCUAAGACUGAGAAAACAGUGACAUCACCCAUAGAGAUGGUAAUACAGGCUAGCAUAAUGCUAAUAAUGAAAAUUCUAGCAAUUCCCGGAAUAGGGCUACAACUUUGGUGACAUGAGAUCAUGAAUAUAUAUCUGUGCAGACUAGUGUACAUUUUAAAAGACCAUUAGAGCACAGCACUUUGACACACUGCAUUUACUCAUAGAGGCAGUCAAUACAACAUACAAUGUCUUUACAAUAUCCCUAUAGAGAACACUUUCUUAGCUGACAGCAUUCAGGCACUGUAGAAGAUAGCGUUGUAGUGGGAGUGUGCCCUCUAGUGGUCUGGCUAGGUAGCAGUUGGAUGUUUUCAAUUAUUUCACACAGUAUGUUGAUGUAUUCAGUGACAUCAAACCUACAUGAGACAUUCAUCAGCACAUAAUACUUUCACUCAGCAAUCCUGACAGCCUGUUUGUGGAGUGGGCACAUACAAUAUAUUCAACACCGAACAGUUUAUAGUAAUCCGAUUUCAGAAAAUCAAAACAAGUCAAAAUGGAUUGCUAGACUCUGGGAGAGCUAGCGUUAAGGCUCUGAUGGCUGUAUCUCCACUAUGAGGCAAAAUCUCUG
RNAcentral lists this long non-coding RNA (1460 nucleotides) under Oncorhynchus kisutch (coho salmon). Its description in RNAcentral is "lncRNA (ENSOKIG00005005572.1)". Lineage: Eukaryota; Metazoa; Chordata; Actinopteri; Salmoniformes; Salmonidae. The record is from RNAcentral.